UUUAAGUAUUGUUGUGAGUUUUUUAUCCAGUGUUUGACCGUUCGUCUUAUUUGAAAAAUUUUUUAUGAUUAGUAUUUUUAUUAUUUUUAGAUGAUAAAACGUGAAUAAUAUGUGACGCAUGACCUUUUUUUAUUUUUUUUAUAUUUCUUGUAAAUAAUACGGGUGAUUAAACAUUAGACACGAAACCCACGACUACACUCAAA
RNAcentral lists this microRNA precursor (203 nucleotides) under Oryza glumipatula. RNAcentral describes it as "MIR812 microRNA precursor family". It matches the Rfam family "MIR812 microRNA precursor family". Lineage: Eukaryota; Viridiplantae; Streptophyta; Magnoliopsida; Poales; Poaceae. The record is from Rfam by way of RNAcentral.